RNAcentral lists this ribosomal RNA (201 nucleotides) under uncultured Selenomonas sp. RNAcentral describes it as "partial 16S ribosomal RNA". It matches the Rfam family "Bacterial small subunit ribosomal RNA", at positions 293 to 485 of the family's 1533-position model. Lineage: Bacteria; Bacillati; Bacillota; Negativicutes; Selenomonadales; Selenomonadaceae. The record is from RNAcentral.
UGAGAGGAUGAACGGCCACAUUGGAACUGAGACACGGUCCAGACUCCUACGGGAGGCAGCAGUGGGGAAUCUUCCCCAAUGGGCGCAAGCCUGACGCAGCAACGCCGCGUGAGUGAAGAAGGCCUUCGGUUCGUAAAGCUCUGUUGUCGGGGACGAAUGUUACUGCUUAAAAUAUAGGUAGUAAAUGACGGUACCUGACGA